GGUGGUUAUCGUGUGAUGCACCCCGGAAUUGGGCUCCCUCCUCUCUGGUUCCUGGUGGGUCACCCGAGAACUGCA
Molecule: non-coding RNA, 75 nt
Organism: Myotis lucifugus (little brown bat)
Lineage: Eukaryota; Metazoa; Chordata; Mammalia; Chiroptera; Vespertilionidae
Source: Rfam